UACGGAGGGUGGAAGCGUUGCUCGGAAUUACUGGGCGUAAAGGGGAGGCAGGUGGUCUUGUUUGUCUGAAGUGAAAUCCCUGGGCUUAACCCAGGAAGGGCCUUAGAAACGGCAAGACUAGAGUCCUAGAGAGGGUAGCGGAAUUCCCGGUGUAGCGGUGAAAUGCGUAGAGAUCGGGAGGAAUACCAGAGGCGAAGGCGGCUACCUGGACAGGAACUGACACUCAUCUCCGAAAGCGUGGGGUGCAAUCAGG
This 253-nucleotide ribosomal RNA is filed under the name uncultured bacterium. RNAcentral describes it as "partial 16S ribosomal RNA". It matches the Rfam family "Bacterial small subunit ribosomal RNA", at positions 524 to 776 of the family's 1533-position model. The record is from RNAcentral.